Molecule: transfer RNA, 86 nt
Filed under: Bacterioplanoides sp. SCSIO 12839
Lineage: Bacteria; Pseudomonadati; Pseudomonadota; Gammaproteobacteria; Oceanospirillales; Oceanospirillaceae
Description: tRNA-Leu
Rfam family: tRNA
About the family: Transfer RNA (tRNA) molecules are approximately 80 nucleotides in length. Their secondary structure includes four short double-helical elements and three loops (D, anti-codon, and T loops). Further hydrogen bonds mediate the characteristic L-shaped molecular structure. tRNAs have two regions of fundamental functional importance: the anti-codon, which is responsible for specific mRNA codon recognition, and the 3' end, to which the tRNAs corresponding amino acid is attached (by aminoacyl-tRNA synthetases). tRNAs cope with the degeneracy of the genetic code in two manners: having more than one tRNA (with a specific anti-codon) for a particular amino acid; and 'wobble' base-pairing, i.e. permitting non-standard base-pairing at the 3rd anti-codon position.
Source: RNAcentral
GCCCGGGUGGUGGAAUUGGUAGACACAGGAGACUUAAAAUCUCCCGUACUUAGUACGUGCCGGUUCAAGUCCGGCCCCGGGCACCA